UAUCAUUAUUAUUAAAAUUUCAGAUUUGUUGAGAGCAGAAUUUUCUUUGAGUUUUCUCCAAGAUUUCUCUCUUGAGUUUUCUUUAGAAGUUGUUUUAACAAUCUUGUGAUUGUGGGAGCCAUCUUCAACCUUCUUCUUGCCAUUGAUAUUCUUUGGAGGGGAGAUUAGAGCCGUUUGAAGGGAGUUGUGAGAUCUUUCGAGAUUUCAAGGCUUCUUAGGACUUAUCUUUUAAUUUCUUACUGUCAAUUCUUUCUUUAUUUCUACUUGUGCUGAAUCAUUAUCUAAUCUAUUUUCUGUUCUUAUUGUGUUUUCAGCCUUUUUCUAUUUUAAGGAAUCAGCCCAAAAAUCCCCAAUUUCUAGGGUUUUUCCAUACUCUUUUUGGGUGAAAUUAGAUUGUCGAAAUUUGGGGAAAACUAUCUUGGUGUUCAAUUGGGC
Molecule: long non-coding RNA, 435 nt
Filed under: Gossypium barbadense (sea-island cotton)
Lineage: Eukaryota; Viridiplantae; Streptophyta; Magnoliopsida; Malvales; Malvaceae
Description: long non-coding RNA (GBAR_LNC002929)
Source: RNAcentral